GACUGGGAAUAGCUCCGCCUUUGCCAUCCUGGGGUAUUCCUCAUGCUGCCACACGGGUCAGGAAGGGAUUCUCCCUGGUUGUCAGACUGGGCAGAAGAUUGGUGAAGAAACCUCCAGAAGUUUCAUAGAUGUCACAGACAUUCGGGCUGGAAGGGACCCCAGAGGAUCAGAGUCCAGCCCCACACCCCGGGGCCAGGAAGUCAGCUGGGGUCACAGGAUCCCGGCGAGAUAAGCAUCCACAUUUCUCUUGAAGGCAUUCAAAGUGGGUGCUCGAAUCACCUCCGAUGGCAGGCUAUUCCAGACCUUGGGGGCUCGGACAGUGAAGAAAUUCUUCCUUGCGUCCAGCCUGAAACAGUCAUGGCACCCGGGAUUCCCAGGCGGUCUCCCAUCCAGGCCCAAUACCCUGCUCGCGGCUGGUGGGAUCAUGGCCAACGUCAGUGGGAACAACGUGGAGGUGAAUCUCCAGCGGGCCCCUGAGAUAUUCAUGUGAAAAUGCUUCAAUAAUUUGUAAGAACUAAAACAGCGUGGGAGAGAAGACCAUGAAGGUAAAGAAGGAGCGGGACCAGCGUUGCACCCUGGGGAAGGACAGGAGGUACAAGACCCUCCCUCUUUCCCAGGGAUAUAAAUCCCAGUGGACUGACGCCUUCCAAGUGCACCAGGGAUCUGCUGCCGUCCAGCUCCAAAAGAGAGAAAUAAAUAGAA
Alligator mississippiensis (American alligator) is the source of this 702-nucleotide long non-coding RNA. RefSeq lists it as uncharacterized. The record is from RefSeq and is a predicted model, not a curated record. Lineage: Eukaryota; Metazoa; Chordata; Crocodylia; Alligatoridae. The transcript has 4 exons.